Molecule: non-coding RNA, 47 nt
Submitted as: unclassified sequences
Source: Rfam
CGGGAGGAAUCCCGUAGGAAUGUGGUCCGACAGGACUGAACCGUGAA